This 253-nucleotide ribosomal RNA is filed under the name uncultured bacterium. RNAcentral describes it as "partial 16S ribosomal RNA". It matches the Rfam family "Bacterial small subunit ribosomal RNA", at positions 103 to 354 of the family's 1533-position model. The record is from RNAcentral.
CGGGUGAGUAACACGUAUGCAACCUGCCUGCUACAGCCGGAUAAUCGGGAGAAAUUCCGUCUAAUACGGCAUAAUGCAUCGACGGGACAUCCUGUUGGUGCCAAAGGUUGAUUCCGGUGGCGGAUGGGCAUGCGUCGCAUUAGUUAGUUGGCGGUGUAACGGACCACCAAGACGACGAUGCGUAGGGGUUCUGAGAGGAAGGUCCCCCACACUGGUACUGAGACACGGACCAGACUCCUACGGGAGGCAGCAG